GAUGAAGAACGCAGCGAAAUGCGAUACGUAAUGUGAAUUGCAGAAUUCAGUGAAUCAUCGAAUCUUUGAACGCACAUUGCGCCCGCCAGUAUUCUGGCGGGCAUGCCUGUUCGAGCGUCAUUUCAACCAUCAAGCCCCCGGCUUGUGUUGGGGACCUGCGGCUGCCGCAGGCCCUGAAAACCAGUGGCGGGCUCGCUAGUCACUCCGAGCGUAGUAAUACAUCUCGCUCAGGGCGUGCUGCGGGUUCCGGCCGUUAAAAAGCCUUAUUUACCCAAGGUUGACCUCGGAUCAGGUAGGAAGACCCGCUGAACUUAAGCAUAUCAAUAAGCGGAGGA
Molecule: unclassified non-coding RNA, 335 nt
Filed under: soil metagenome
Description: partial contains 5.8S ribosomal RNA, internal transcribed spacer 2, and large subunit ribosomal RNA
Rfam family: 5.8S ribosomal RNA (bases 1-120)
Source: RNAcentral